RNAcentral lists this ribosomal RNA (546 nucleotides) under uncultured fungus. Its description in RNAcentral is "eukaryotic LSU rRNA". The stretch from base 202 to 355 matches the Rfam family "5.8S ribosomal RNA". The record is from RNAcentral. Lineage: Eukaryota; Fungi.
AAGUCGUAACAAGGUCUCCGUAGGUGAACCUGCGGAGGGAUCAUUACAAGAACGCCCGGGCUUCGGCCUGGUUAUUCAUAACCCUUUGUUGUCCGACUCUGUUGCCUCCGGGGCGACCCUGCCUUCGGGCGGGGGCUCCGGGUGGACACUUCAAACUCUUGCGUAACUUUGCAGUCUGAGUAAACUUAAUUAAUAAAUUAAAACUUUUAACAACGGAUCUCUUGGUUCUGGCAUCGAUGAAGAACGCAGCGAAAUGCGAUAAGUAAUGUGAAUUGCAGAAUUCAGUGAAUCAUCGAAUCUUUGAACGCACAUUGCGCCCCCUGGUAUUCCGGGGGGCAUGCCUGUUCGAGCGUCAUUUCACCACUCAAGCCUCGCUUGGUAUUGGGCAACGCGGUCCGCCGCGUGCCUCAAAUCGUCCGGCUGGGUCUUCUGUCCCCUAAGCGUUGUGGAAACUAUUCGCUAAAGGGUGUUCGGGAGACUACGCCGUAAAACAACCCCAUUUCUAAGGUUGACCUCGGAUCAGGUAGGGAUACCCGCUGAACUUAA